GGGAGCUUGCUCCCGGAUGUUAGCGGCGGACGGGUGAGUAACACGUGGGUAACCUGCCUGUAAGACUGGGAUAACUCCGGGAAACCGGAGCUAAUACCGGAUAGUUCCUUGAACCGCAUGGUUCAAGGAUGAAAGACGGUUUCGGCUGUCACUUACAGAUGGACCCGCGGCGCAUUAGCUAGUUGGUGGGGUAAUGGCUCACCAAGGCGACGAUGCGUAGCCGACCUGAGAGGGUGAUCGGCCACACUGGGACUGAGACACGGCCCAGACUCCUACGGGAGGCAGCAGUAGGGAAUCUUCCGCAAUGGACGAAAGUCUGACGGAGCAACGCCGCGUGAGUGAUGAAGGUUUUCGGAUCGUAAAGCUCUGUUGUUAGGGAAGAACAAGUGCGAGAGUAACUGCUCGCACCUUGACGGUACCUAACCAGAAAGCCACGGCUAACUACGUGCCAGCAGCCGCGGUAAUACGUAGGUGGCAAGCGUUGUCCGGAAUUAUUGGGCGUAAAGGGCUCGCAGGCGGUUUCUUAAGUCUGAUGUGAAAGCCCCCGGCUCAACCGGGGAGGGUCAUUGGAAACUGGGAAACUUGAGUGCAGAAGAGGAGAGUGGAAUU
RNAcentral lists this ribosomal RNA (609 nucleotides) under Bacillus sp. 13544. RNAcentral's name for it is "bacterial SSU rRNA". It matches the Rfam family "Bacterial small subunit ribosomal RNA", at positions 74 to 668 of the family's 1533-position model. Lineage: Bacteria; Bacillati; Bacillota; Bacilli; Caryophanales; Bacillaceae. The record is from RNAcentral.